UACGUAGGGCGCAAGCGUUUAUCCGGAAUUAUUGGGCGUAAAGAGCUCGUAGGCGGUUUGUCGCGUCUGCCGUGAAAGUCCGGGGCUCAACUCCGGAUCUGCGGUGGGUACGGGCAGACUAGAGUGAUGUAGGGGAGACUGGAAUUCCUGGUGUAGCGGUGAAAUGCGCAGAUAUCAGGAGGAACACCGAUGGCGAAGGCGGUUCUCUGGGCCUUACCUGACGCUGAGGAGCGAAAGCGUGGGGAGCGAACAGG
This 254-nucleotide ribosomal RNA is filed under the name uncultured bacterium. RNAcentral's name for it is "partial 16S ribosomal RNA". It matches the Rfam family "Bacterial small subunit ribosomal RNA", at positions 524 to 776 of the family's 1533-position model. The record is from RNAcentral.